AAGUCGUAACAAGGUUUCCGUAGGUGAACCUGCGGAAGGAUCAUUAACACGUAUCCAAACGUAAAAAACCCCCCCCGUGAACAUUCAAUCCUGCUCUUGUAACCCGCGUAGUUCGCAAUCUCUGGUAAAUCAUAGCCCGGAAAGUAGUUUUGAUUCAGAGACCUCUGGCUACGUGAGAACAUUGGAACAGUUACAAUCGAGCGGUAGUUUCAUAGGCAUUGUUUCCCCAAGCAGUUAGUGUCUGAAAGUGUCACGGAUUGUGCAAGGAUAGCGCUUCAACGAUUCCUGUAGACCGUACACUCGGGCAGGAGCUAUGCCAAAGGGUCCCCAUGCCCCCUUAUAACCCCACAGUUUAAUGUGAAGCUCAAUGUAAUACAUUGGGUAAAAAACCGAA
Molecule: unclassified non-coding RNA, 394 nt
Filed under: fungal sp.
Lineage: Eukaryota; Fungi
Description: partial internal transcribed spacer region
Rfam family: Eukaryotic small subunit ribosomal RNA (bases 1-46)
Source: RNAcentral